Long non-coding RNA from Callithrix jacchus (white-tufted-ear marmoset), 1327 nucleotides. NCBI's taxonomy places the organism in Eukaryota, Metazoa, Chordata, Mammalia, Primates, Cebidae. The record is from Ensembl.
AUGCUGCCUUGGAUCACCUUCCUUUGCAGGGAGGAGCAAGAGAGACAGAAUGGCCUUUGUGGGCCUCCAUCUCUCAUCUGCAAAGUGGAAGAGAGGGAUGAGAUAACCUAUCUGGACUCUUCGCAUUUGGAAUCUCAUUUCUCAAUGGAAGAAAGUCUCUCAAGGGACUUUCCCAGACCACUCUGCAGAAGACGCUCUCGUGAUCACUACUGGCAUCUUUGUUGCUCAGUCCACGUGAGUGACAUUUUAUUUCUCCAGACCUUGUUUUAUUUGGCCACUGUGUCACAUUUGGCAAUACUGAGUAUGGCUGCUUCAACAAUGCCUCAUUCUUUGAUUUCUAUGACAUCAUUUCUUGGUUCUUCUCCUGCCUUUUUGGCUAUUGCUUCUCAUUUUUCUUCAUUAGCUUUACUUUCAUGACCUGUCUCUAAAAGUUGAUGUUCCUAGCAUGUCCUCCUGGACCCUCACUUUCUCAAACUCCACAAUUUCGUUGGCUAUCUCCCAUGCUUCUAUUCCUCUAAUGUGCUGAUUAUCAGCACAUCUAUAUCUCCAGCCCAGAUAUUUCCCGAGUAUCUUUCAUAUCCAGUGGUCUCCAGUGUAUUACGUAUACCUUCCCUGGGUUUGCAAAAUAAGUCUCUAAGGCUACACAAAGAAAAAGAUAUUAAUAUUUUUAGUUUCUUAUCUGAAAUAUGAAAAGGAGACUCUGAUAAUUUGUUAAUGUUUAUCGUAUGCAUCAUCAGUAACGUCUUCAAUGGCCUGUUCGUCCUCCUGUCUCUGGUUUGCACAGGGAAGGGAGCGCUUUGUCUCUGGCUCUUCAACCACCACACGCAUGCAAAGAUAUUAGGUAGCUCGAGGUUUACUGAGUGUCUCUUACAAGGAGCUGGUCACACAGGAACAUCCCAGCUGUUGGUCAGUCUCCCACCUCAUCCCUGGGCUCCAGCAAAACCAGGUGGCAUGAGUCUAAAUCCAGUUAUUAUUCCUGAGCAAUGCUGAUAAACUGGUAUGUGCAUGCCAACACAACUCACAAGACAAUGGUUAUAGAAUAUUACUUAUUGAAUCUCAUGAAGAAGUUUAUUUUAUUCUGUUAAAAAUGUUUUAAAUUUGAGGUUGUCUAAAUUUUGCUAUCUAAGAGGUGUAUUUGAAAAAAUCAUCAUCAUUAUUUAUUCCCUCAAGACUAGAGUGAUGUUUUGAAACAGUGAGAAAAUUACUGCCUUUUGAAAUAAGUUAUGAUGAGGAGGUGGAACUACAUGAAAACUAAUAUUUGAAAUGUUUCCAUAAUUAACAUGGUUUAAUAGUAGAAAUGGACAUUACUUAUAAAACCCUCUUGCAG